Molecule: ribosomal RNA, 253 nt
Filed under: uncultured bacterium
Lineage: Bacteria
Description: partial 16S ribosomal RNA
Rfam family: Bacterial small subunit ribosomal RNA
Source: RNAcentral
UACAGCGGUCCCAAGCGUUGUUCGGAUUCACUGGGCGUAAAGGGUGCGUAGGCGGUCGGGCAAGUCUGAUGUGAAAUCUCACAGCUUAACUGUGAAACUGCAUUGGAUACUAUCCGGCUCGAGGAAUGGAGGGGAGACUGGAAUACUUGGUGUAGCAGUGAAAUGCGUAGAUAUCAAGUGGAACACCAGUGGCGAAGGCGAGUCUCUAGACAUUUCCUGACGCUGAGGCACGAAGGCCAGGGGAGCAAACGGG